RNAcentral lists this ribosomal RNA (492 nucleotides) under uncultured bacterium. Its description in RNAcentral is "partial 16S ribosomal RNA". It matches the Rfam family "Bacterial small subunit ribosomal RNA", at positions 29 to 507 of the family's 1533-position model. The record is from RNAcentral.
AGUGAACGCUGGCGGUAGGCCUAACACAUGCAAGUCGAACGGCAGCACAGUAAGAGCUUGCUCUUACGGGUGGCGAGUGGCGGACGGGUGAGGAAUACAUCGGAAUCUACUUUUUCGUGGGGGAUAACGUAGUGAAACUUACGCUAAUACCGCAUACGACCUACGGGUGAAAGCAGGGGAUCUUCGGACCUUGCGCGAUUGAAUGAGCCGAUGUCGGAUUAGCUAGUUGGCGGGGUAAAGGCCCACCAAGGCGACGAUCCGUAGCUGGUCUGAGAGGAUGAUCAGCCAUACUGGAACUGAGACACGGUCCAGACUCCUACGGGAGGCAGCAGUGGGGAAUAUUGGACAAUGGGCGCAAGCCUGAUCCAGCCAUACCGCGUGGGUGAAGAAGGCCUUCGGGUUGUAAAGCCCUUUUGUUGGGAAAGAAAAGCAGCAGGUUAAUACCCCGCUGUUCUGACGGUACCCAAAGAAUAAGCACCGGCUAACUUCGUG